RNAcentral lists this small RNA (28 nucleotides) under Bombyx mori (domestic silkworm). Its description in RNAcentral is "ovarian small RNA-27784". The record is from RNAcentral. Lineage: Eukaryota; Metazoa; Arthropoda; Insecta; Lepidoptera; Bombycidae.
UCCUCCACAUCGACUUGUUUCGAGGAUC